This 3486-nucleotide long non-coding RNA is filed under the name Sus scrofa (pig). RNAcentral describes it as "lncRNA (ENSSSCG00065076281.1)". Lineage: Eukaryota; Metazoa; Chordata; Mammalia; Artiodactyla; Suidae. The record is from RNAcentral.
GGAAGUGGGGGGCUGCGGCGGGAGGUGAGGGCCGCCUGCCUGGCCGGACCCCAGGGGUGUCGGACGGUGGGCAGGGCCUCCUGGGAUCCCUGAGGCGCCGGCAGGAGGAGACGCCCUGGGGUCGGUGCCUCCACCUUCCCGUCCGGGCGGUUACAGCUUUCCCGCGUUCGCUGUCAGAGGCAGGGACCGGCGACCUCGGGGGCCUGGUCCCUGAGCCACAGCGGGGAGUCGUCCGAGCAUCUCGGGAUGAGGAAGGCCCAGCUCCCCUGCUGCUGUCAGAGUGUCCUGCUUCCCCCCCUCAGGAAAGCACACCUUUCCUGGUCUCCUCCUCCCUGGAAUCUUGAACUCUGGUGAAGAACAUGGUGAAAUGUUCCAAGUGUAGCAGGGGCGUUACUGAAAGGGAAAAUCGUAACCGAUCAAGUUGAAUCAAAAAAGAGGAAAGAAAGCCCAUCGCGUGUGACAGACAAGAAAGUGCUACCGUUAAAAGGCAAACAGUUCUAGAGUGUGCAAACAUUUGCAGUCCCUCUGCUGAUGAUCCUGGGUUUGGUUUGGCUGGGCUUGAGCAAAUGAAAAGGAACCAGGACGGUGCUCCAGCUUUCUGGGGAUCCUCCUCCAGCAUCGCCAAAGCCUGGGCCGGGCGCAUCCACUUAACUCACGGGGCAGGCUCCCAGUUUUUGAAGGAUCUUCACACCGCCUCCAGCAGCAGCCGCCUUAUAGACACUGCUUAGCCCGGUCCUGCACUUGCUCAGGUCCGGUCUCUGUAACAGAACACACGCGCAUCUCGUGAUGGUGCUUCUCUGAUGGAGCCUUAGCCGAUGCGCAGAAGUAGACAACUGUGUUGGGGCGGAGGAGGUGCCCUGAACUCCAGCUCAGCCCUCCUCCUCCCAAGCCCUUCCAUCCUAGGAUCAACAGGAGCCUGUGACUGACUACAGCAGGAGAGCAGGCGUGGCAUGGAUCCCGUGCAAGCCGGCAGUGGAGACCCAGCGCCUGAGAGUGACGUGGGGAACUAGCAGGAGCUAGAAGUGACUUAGGACGAGCUUUUGUAAAGCGGAGGUGUGAGUGUAAUAUCAGGAUGAUUUGACUGCAAGCAACAGAGAAUCAAACAGAAAUGGCCUAGGGAGUCCCUUCGUGGCUCCCCAGUUAACAAUCUGACUGGAUCAUGAGGAUGCAGGUUCAAUCCCCGGCCUCUAUCAGUGGGUGAAGGAUCUAGUGCUACCAUGAGCUGUGCUGUGGUGUAGGCUGGCGGCCGCAGCUCCAGUUGGACCCCUAGCCCGGGAACUUCCAUAUGCUGUGGGUGCAGCCCUAAAAAGCAAAAACAAACAAAAAAAUGAAACAAAACAAAACAAAAAAUCCACAAAAAAAAUCAGAAAUGGCCUAAACAAAGAAGAAAACGUGUUAUCCCAUACUACAAGAAGUUUGGGGAUUGAGUGAGUGGUUAAAUGCAUGAUUAGUUUAGAAACUUGACAGCACCACCCAGGACCCAUUUUCCCUAAGGCGCUGCUGCCCCCCACCCUGUAGGCUUAGCCACCGCAGCAAAGACACCCCCCUUCCCCAACCAGAGCCCUGCGUCAGGACUGGAAGGGGCCUCCUUCCCUCCAUCCCCUUCCAGAACCUCCGCAGAAGACUCCCCUUGACGUCUCAUUCCAUCCCAUACUGGUCACUUUGCAGGGGAACGGAUUUACCAUGGUGGCCAGAGACAAUUAAGUCGCCCCCAUCUCUGGAGAACACUUGACCACUCAGUACCCAGCAACUCGGGUACUCCUGGCAAGAAAGAGACAGGUGAUACCCACUGGGUCCUGUCCACAGCGCCUGCCCCCAGCAACCUGUCUACCUGGAAAACUGAGGGGGUGCCACGCGGGUCUGUGUCUUCUCUGUAGUUUGCCCGAGUCUUUCCCAUUAGGUAAGUGUCGCCCUUUUCCCUCUUUGCGGCUUUCCUCCUUGGCACGUCACCCAGGUUUUGUUCAGCCACAAGGGGCGAUAGGCUGAAAGAGGAAUCUCCAGGCCUAGGUGAUGGGCCAGCCGUGGUGAUCCUCACCCGUUUGCCUGGGCACCGUUUGGGAAACGUCCCCCUGCUCACCACGGAGAUGAAAGACCAGGUCCCUGGAGGGGCUUCGCGGAAGGAUUUUUCUCCCCAGUAAAGCGGCAGACAAGCCAAGGGUCCGCCGCCCUACGCGCCGUCUGCCUUUGAGCCGCCGCCAGCUCACAUCCUUGAGCAGAAACGUUGCAGGGAGGCAGAAAGCGCCGAGUCUCAUGGAUCGUGCUGAGCGUUGCAUCCACCCAGGACUGCUUACCUUCAGACUUCUGCUCCGGUGGCAGAGCAGCAAACCCCUAUUGUGUAAGCCUUUGUAGAUGGCUGGUGCCACUUGCUGCUGAAAGUGACAGAUAAUCUUUCUAGGAAUAUAACCCCUAAAGCCCUUUAUGGUAACAGAUGCACUUAGAGAAUGUAGUUUUCUUUCUUUUUCUUACUUAAAAAAAAAAAAAAAAAAAAAGAUGAAGUCUGCCUCAGGCAAAAAGACAAACUGAAAACAUAUGUAUGCAUAAUUGAAGUGCAAUCAAUAUUCAUUAGAAAAUGAACGAAUGUUCUUCAAGUUACUUUAAUAGUUUUCUCGGGGAAUCUGUUUUUGGAUACGUAUGUCAGCUACAAUAUUUGGCACUUCCAGGAGCUCUGUGUUGAUGUCCUUCCUAGAAGUUGCACUUCUGCGCAUUUUUCUGCGCCUUUGGGGUCUCAGAUGUUCCUGGAAGGAAUCACUUUUCACUCCCCUGGCUUUUCCCUCGAACAGGUAACUUGUAACUUGCUGUUGCCUAUAGAUAUCGAGCAUUUGUCCAAAAAUAUGUUCCUACAAUACCUUCCUGUCUCAGCCAUUCCAUUCACAAGACAGUUUAAACAUUUCUCCAUGCUAUUCCACAGAUCAUUCAUAGAGGAACCAUCUGAACCAUGCAACAAAGUCUAGAAACUUUUAUGACUUUUAACUUCCACGACAAGUUAUCAUGUACUUGGUACCCUCAGCCAGGUACAUGUUAAGCUCAGGUUUCAUGUAUGUUAGCGUGGAGCCAUAUUUCCUUGUGGAUAAACCUAUAGAUUUAUCCCCACCCCCGCUUCCCUUCCCAGAAGUAACUGUUGCCUUGACAACAGGGUAAGGACAGCAGUGAUGACGGCUGUGAUAACGAUUAUGAUAAUGAUGGCAGGAGAAACUGUAUGCUGGCCAUUAUCUAAGCACUUUACAUGCAUUAGCUCCUUUAACGCCCAAGGAGGCAUGUGACAGAAAUGCUAUUUUUAUCCCCGUGUUAGAGAUGAGGGCUGAGGAAAGACUGGUGAGGUGCCUUGCCCAAGGCCACACGUCUGGUCCCCAGAGAAGCCAGGCUUCCUACCCAGGCAACCCAGGGGUCCCAUACACUGUCGCUGCCUGAUAGGUAGCAGUGGUGGUGAUACACACUUCCUCUAGGUACAUGCGCAUCCAUAAUAAAGACGCAGUAGACUUAUUUGCA